AAAUCGUACAAAGGUUUCCGUAGGUGAACCUGCGGAAGAUCAUUAACACGUAUCCAAACGUUAAAACAACGUUCUUGCUUGACACUAAAACAGCGAUCUCUCGUAAAACAGGCGCUAAAGAAUUCCAGAUAUUGAUUUGAGAGAACUCCGUCAUAAAUGGAACAACUGUUAACAAUGGAUAUCUUGGUUCUC
RNAcentral lists this unclassified non-coding RNA (192 nucleotides) under fungal sp. RNAcentral describes it as "partial internal transcribed spacer region". The record is from RNAcentral. Lineage: Eukaryota; Fungi.